GCUUACGGCCACACCGCCUGGUUCACGCCUGAUCUCGGAAGCUAACAUAGGUUGGGCCUGGUUAGCACUUGGAUGGGAGACCGCCUGGGAAUACCAGGUGCUGCAAGCU
Molecule: ribosomal RNA, 109 nt
Organism: Scophthalmus maximus (turbot)
Lineage: Eukaryota; Metazoa; Chordata; Actinopteri; Pleuronectiformes; Scophthalmidae
Source: Ensembl